GACUAACGUACUUUAAUGGAGAGUAGCUUUUUAGUUACAGAUCCGAUUUGAGUCUAACAUGCACUCACACAUUCGUGGCGAUGAGUACUAUUUUAGUACGAAACCAGGAAAAUGAAACUAAAAGCCAAAAACCACGUCCACAUCAGAUUGCACUUUUGUCCAAAAAAGGUAUGAUAGUCAAAUUACACCAACAAAAACAAAAUUACAGUGAAAAGUAGGGACAGGUCGUCGCAAUGAGAUUCAGUCUUACGCAUAGUUCUCAUAUGUUGUCCAACGCUUUACAACAUGAGGUUUUUAAGCUGAUUCUUUUUGGUUGAUAAAUGUUUUUCUUUUGGUGGCAUCUUCAUUAAAAACAAAUGAUAAUGAGUAUAAUUUUUAAUCAAAUAAUAUCAAGUCAUAUAAAUGACAAACUAGAUACAAAAGGCAGAUGCAGCAUCACUUAGCACACAAGGUAGAUUCAGCAUUAUCUAGCACACAAGCUAGAUGCAGCAUCACUUAGCAAACUAGGUAGAUGCAAAAUUAGUUGUUAACGCACAAGGUAAAUGCAUAAUUGUUUUUAACACACAAGGUAGAUGCAGAUUCCUCUUCUUUUUUUUUUUUUUCUUUUAUAACACAACAUAUUUAUGUGCAAAAUUAAUUUACAAACAAAAAGUAGUACCAUAAUUAAUUUACAAACAACAGGCAGGUGUAUCAUCAGUUCACAUAUGAAGUGCAGCAUCAGUACAAAAUGCAAUAUCAGUUACAAAGUGCAUCAUCAAGCUAGACGGUUAAUGCUUUACUCACAAAAUUUAGACACAUAAUCAUUUUUUUUCUUUAGAUGUUGUUGAAGAAUAAAUAUACAUAUAAACUUAAAAAAAAUGAAAUUGAACAUCUAAAACAUUGAAAUUAUUUUUUCUUGUACUGGAACACUAAAAUUUUUGUAAAAUCAAGUGCAAAAACAAUUGAUAAUGCAUGCAUCCGUUUUUUACAGUUUUCGAAAGUGUCUUUUGUAAAAACACAUGAUAAUACAUCCUAAACUUUAAUAAUGCAUUCAUUUUUGUCAGAAUUCAAAAGAUAAUCAUGCAAAAGAACGAUUUGAAGUAGUAGAAAAUACCUUUGAAACACUGAUCUUCUGAAAAUGCGGCUGAACCUAUGUAUCACUUACUGAAAAUCUAGCUUGAAAGUAUCGAAAUCUAUGAAGAUUUUAGGGUUUUUUAUGGGGAAGUUUUUUUGCAUGAGAGAGUUUUUGAAAUGAUUGUUUUGGGGAAGAUGAAAGAAAGAAAGAAAAAACCGUCAGUUCGCAAUAUUCAAUAGGGCAUACGGUUUGUUUUUAAGAUUUUUUGUAGUGUAGUGGUUAACGUGGCCGUUUAUUAACGGUUAUAGGUGAGGGGCAUGGUUGUAAUUUACUCGGUCCGUUUCUUUUUGGGUUGGACUUGGUUUUGUGUUGUUUGGGUUUUUUGUCCCUCCAUGAAAUGUUUUAAAAUGUGUGGAGUUGUGUGAAAUAUGGUUUAUAUUUGUGUCUCUAUAAGUAAGGCUCUCAAUAUUAUGAAAGUAAAAGGACUAAUAUAUUUUUUGAGACAAAAAAGAUAAAAUGGUUAAAUUGUAUAGGAUAGAGACAGACAAGAUUUCUUCUAAUGUUUGGUGCAAAUAUAAUAUUUGUAAGCACAAUAGUAGACUCACUAUUGUAUAUCUACAAUCUCCUUGACCCAAAACAUGCAUAAGUAUAGUUGCCCAUGUGAAGGCGAUGUUCUCUAGUGCUUUCUUCUUGAAGUUGAUGAAGCAACUUUUGUCCUGUCAUACGUGUUAGGUUGCUCUGAAACUAUCCAACAUUAUCCUUAGUAUUCAGCAAUGAGUGCUUCGAAGACAGUCAAAAUCAAUUCUUUAGGAUUUUUAUUGUUCUUGUGUUGUUUGAGGCACUUGUACCUAUAAUGACCAGUAUCUUCAUAGUUGAAACAUGCACUGAAGGGAAAAUUAUGAGAUUUCUAGAAUGGGAUUUCAUAAUGACUAUCAUGCAUAUUCAAAUCAAAUUUAAUAUACGAAAG
RNAcentral lists this long non-coding RNA (2021 nucleotides) under Malus domestica (apple). Its description in RNAcentral is "long non-coding RNA (MDOM_LNC012833)". The record is from RNAcentral. Lineage: Eukaryota; Viridiplantae; Streptophyta; Magnoliopsida; Rosales; Rosaceae.